GUGGGGAAUCUUGCGCAAUGGGGGCAACCCUGACGCAGCGACGCCGCGUGCGGGACGAAGGCCUUCGGGUCGUAAACCGCUUUCAGCAGGGACGAGACAAGACGGUACCUGCAGAAGAAGCCCCGGCUAACUACGUGCCAGCAGCCGCGGUAAUACGUAGGGGGCGAGCGUUAUCCGGAUUCAUUGGGCGUAAAGCGCGCGUAGGCGGCCGCGUAGGCGGGGGGUCAAAUCCCGGGGCUCAACCCCGGUCCGCCCCCCGAACCCCGCGGCUCGGGUCCGGUAGGGGAGGGUGGAAUUCCCGGUGUAGCGGUGGAAUGCGCAGAUAUCGGGAGGAACACCGGUGGCGAAGGCGGCCCUCUGGGCCGAGACCGACGCUGAGGCGCGAAAGCUGGGGGAGCGAACAGGAUUAGAAACCCCAGUAGUCC
RNAcentral lists this ribosomal RNA (425 nucleotides) under uncultured bacterium. RNAcentral describes it as "bacterial SSU rRNA". It matches the Rfam family "Bacterial small subunit ribosomal RNA", at positions 354 to 796 of the family's 1533-position model. The record is from RNAcentral.